GAGUUUGAUCUUGGCUCAGAUUGAACGCUGGCGGCAUGCCUUACACAUGCAAGUCGAACGGCAGCACGGGAGCUUGCUCCUGGUGGCGAGUUGGCGAACGGGUGAGUAAUGCAUCGGAACGUAUCCUGGAGUGGGGGAUAACGUAGCGAAAGUUACGCUAAUACCGCAUAUUCUGUGAGCAGGAAAGCGGGGGACCUUCGGGCCUCGCGCUCUUGGAGCGGCCGAUGUCGGAUUAGCUAGUUGGUGAGGUAAAGGCUCACCAAGGCGACGAUCCGUAGCAGGUCUGAGAGGAUGAUCUGCCACACUGGAACUGAGACACGGUCCAGACUCCUACGGGAGGCAGCAGUGGGAAUUUUGGACAAUGGGGGCAACCCUGAUCCAGCCAUGCCGCGUGAGUGAAGAAGGCCUGG
Molecule: ribosomal RNA, 410 nt
Filed under: bacterium enrichment culture clone ALO1_GLFRUDD03G1BVJ
Lineage: Bacteria
Description: bacterial SSU rRNA
Rfam family: Bacterial small subunit ribosomal RNA
Source: RNAcentral